Molecule: ribosomal RNA, 253 nt
Filed under: uncultured bacterium
Lineage: Bacteria
Description: partial 16S ribosomal RNA
Rfam family: Bacterial small subunit ribosomal RNA
Source: RNAcentral
UACGGAGGAUCCAAGCGUUAUCCGGAUUUAUUGGGUUUAAAGGGUGCGUAGGCGGCCUAUUAAGUCAGGGGUGAAAGACGGUAGCUUAACUAUCGCAGUGCCUUUGAUACUAUUUGUCUUGAAUACUGUGGAGGUAAGCGGAAUAUGUCAUGUAGCGGUGAAAUGCUUAGAUAUGACAUAGAACACCAAUUGCGAAGGCAGCUUACUACACAACGAUUGACGCUGAGGCACGAAAGCGUGGGGAUCAAACAGG